RNAcentral lists this ribosomal RNA (329 nucleotides) under uncultured eukaryote. RNAcentral describes it as "partial 18S ribosomal RNA". It matches the Rfam family "Eukaryotic small subunit ribosomal RNA", at positions 1470 to 1796 of the family's 1831-position model. The record is from RNAcentral.
CCCUUAGAUGUCCUGGGCCGCACGCGCGCUACACUGAUACGUUCAACGAGUCUAUAACCUUGACCGAGAGGUCUGGGUAAUCUUCUCAACGCGCAUCGUGAUAGGGAUUGAUUAUUGCAAUUAUUAAUCAUGAACGAGGAAUUCCUAGUAAACGCAAGUCAUCAGCUUGCAUUGAUUACGUCCCUGCCCUUUGUACACACCGCCCGUCGCACCUACCGAUUGAAUGGUUCGGUGAGAAUUUCGGACCGUGGCAAUGUCCCGUUCAUUCGGGACGCUGCCGUGGGAAGUUAUUCAAACCUCAUCAUUUAGAGGAAGGUGAAGUCGUAACA